This 343-nucleotide ribosomal RNA is filed under the name Salmonella enterica subsp. enterica serovar Weltevreden. Its description in RNAcentral is "bacterial SSU rRNA". It matches the Rfam family "Bacterial small subunit ribosomal RNA", at positions 628 to 970 of the family's 1533-position model. The record is from RNAcentral. Lineage: Bacteria; Pseudomonadati; Pseudomonadota; Gammaproteobacteria; Enterobacterales; Enterobacteriaceae.
CGAAACUGGCAGGCUUGAGUCUUGUAGAGGGGGGUAGAAUUCCAGGUGUAGCGGUGAAAUGCGUAGAGAUCUGGAGGAAUACCGGUGGCGAAGGCGGCCCCCUGGACAAAGACUGACGCUCAGGUGCGAAAGCGUGGGGAGCAAACAGGAUUAGAUACCCUGGUAGUCCACGCCGUAAACGAUGUCUACUUGGAGGUUGUGCCCUUGAGGCGUGGCUUCCGGAGCUAACGCGUUAAGUAGACCGCCUGGGGAGUACGGCCGCAAGGUUAAAACUCAAAUGAAUUGACGGGGGCCCGCACAAGCGGUGGAGCAUGUGGUUUAAUUCGAUGCAACGCGAAGAACC